Bos indicus x Bos taurus (hybrid cattle) is the source of this 1952-nucleotide long non-coding RNA. NCBI's taxonomy places the organism in Eukaryota, Metazoa, Chordata, Mammalia, Artiodactyla, Bovidae. The record is from Ensembl.
AACAUUCACCUACCAGGCUGGCUGGCAGCAGCGAAGAAACAGAGCCCGGAGUUAGCAGACAAGUUUGUCUCACGAGAAUCAGGAGAUACUAAAUGCUCUCUGGAGAGAAAAGGUGAGAACUUUGCUUUUGACCUACUGGGAGGAAGUGAAUCCCAAGAGGGAGGCAUUUCUUCAAGUGUAGUCUCUGCCCAAAGCCAGCCCAGACUGCUCAGGGCCUCCUCCCCGAGGGGGAAGCCAGACUCCACGGACUAGAGAUGGAGGGGGUUGUGGACAUGGUGGAGACUUCAGUGUCCUGGUCUGUCUGAUGGGCUUGUUCACAAGGGGACCACUGGCAGUGACCUCGCCUGGCACCUAAUCCUGCAAGCAAGCCCCUCACUGCAGAGGACAGUGGUGACACCCCCUGGACAUGCGUCCACUGACGGAUGGAGCCAAUGGAUGGGAAGGCAGCAGAGGCUUCUCUGCAGACUGUGUUUAACCCCCAGUGAGCCUGUGGGACCCCAGGGUGGAGCAGCUACAGAGGACACAGGGGUGAGAGAGGAGAAAACACAGAUAUCUCCAAGGGAGGCCCCUCACUCUCGGGGCAGGAGGAGCAGCCAGUGCAAAGGCCCUGGCUUAGGACCAGAUCUGGUUAACAGGUGGGAUGGUGGCCCGAGAUGCGGGCAGAGGGAGCCCAGAAAGCCAACCCUCCUGCAGACCAGCAGAGACUUUGUGGAUUAAAGGGGAAUCCUAUGGCAGAUGCCACCAUCACACAUCUGCUAGGGGAGGAGACAGACAUCAGACCACACUGAGUGCUGGCCAGGGUGCCAACUUCUUGUCCACUUGGAAGCGUGCCUGGCAGUUCCUUAAAAAGUUAACUCUGUAUGUGCCCUACCCAAGAGUAAACGCCCGGAAGGAAAGACCAGGACAGGCAUUCACAGCAGCCUUAUCCUAAACAGGCAGCACUGGAAACAAACAAGGCAGCCAUAGAGAGGGGAAUGGCUCAAUCAACUGUGCUCACUGCUUCCAGUGGAGAACCACACAGCCAACUCCCAGCAGUCUCUGCAGUGAGGUUGCCUCUCCUGAGACCAAGCACCAGGGAGGGCUUCUGGAAGUGCAGUCUGGUGAGGACUCAGGGCAAAACAAGCAGAAAACAAAACUGCGCACAGAGGGUGAACCCAAGUCGACCUGGGACUUUGUCUGCCAUGGCUGCCCAAGUUUCCCAGACAGAAGGCGGAAGUUCUAAGCAGGUGGAAAGUGCCUCACUCCAGGGCCGAGGGCUCCUGAGGCCACCGCGCCUGCCUGCCUGCGCCACAUCCAUCGUGUUAUUGCCGGAGCCUGAGAACUGCUCCCCAGGCGGAAUCUUGAAUAUUCAUCUGAUUUACUGCCCGCUGCCGACAGCUUUAUGAAUCCGCCCACCAGUACCUGCAGCCGGUCAUCAAUCUUCCCCCGAGACUGUGCUGCUGCCAGUAACUCAUGAAUUAAAGAGGCCCCUGGCGGCCCCCACACCUCCCUCCCCCACGCGGCGCGUCGUGAUGGAGAAGGACCUGACCAGAAGUCAAAACACUGCUGCUGCCUCGUCUUGCAGCUCAGGCGACCUUGGAUGACUCCCUCAGCCUGUCUGCAGUCAGGAAGAGAAACUCAGGGGCCCUCAGAGCAGCCCCUACCCAGCUCCCAAUCCCAGUUUCCCUGUCUGCAGAGACGCAGGGAGUGCUCAGCAUCACCUCUGUCUGCUCACCUGGGCGAGGGGCUGAGGCAGUUGGGUGGGCAAGCCCAGGCGAAUGCAGGAUGCUUGCUACGAUUCAACUUGGAGAUGCUCACUGAACGAGAGAGGUGGUGGUCCUCGCAGCAAGCUCUCCUAGGCGUUCUUAUCAAGAGUGGGAACGAAGGGAGCAUCUCCCUCCAGGACUUUGGGGGUCUCCAAGUGCGCCCCCCGGCCCCCGUCCAUAGGGAAUAAACGUGAUGAUGUUUGUCCA